Molecule: long non-coding RNA, 973 nt
Filed under: Volvox carteri
Lineage: Eukaryota; Viridiplantae; Chlorophyta; Chlorophyceae; Chlamydomonadales; Volvocaceae
Description: long non-coding RNA (VCAR_LNC000463)
Source: RNAcentral
AACAGUUUAAUCAAAAAGCAAUACAGGAAAUCAAAAAUACAAAGGAAAGGGCCCUACCAAAAUGAAACCGCUUUAAGAGCGCUCUCAACGCGAUCUUAAGCCAUAUAAAGCACAAGUGGAUGCCGCUGUUAAGAGCGUUCUGAGAACGCUCUUAUCUGCCAUGUUUUAAGAUUGUGCCUUCUCAAGCUUAAGAACGCUUAAGCGUUCUUAAGCAAUCUCAAGAGAGCGCUCUUUGCAGGGAAUCUCAAGCGUUCUCAGCGAUCUUACCCGUUCUCAAGGACAUUCUCAAACCAUUUUCUCACGCAUUCUUAAGCAAUCUUUCACCACUCUCAAGCGUUCUUACACCGUUCUCUCACCAUUCUUAAGCGUUCUUACAGCGUUCUCAAGCGUUCUUACAGCGUUCUCUCACCAUUCUUAAGCGUUCUUACAGCGUUCUCAAGCGUUCUUACACCGUUCUCUCAUCAUUCUUAAGCGUUCUUACAGCGUUCUCAAGCGUUCUUACAGCGUUCUCUCACCAUUCUUAAGCGUUCUUACAGCGUUCUCAAGCGUUCUUACACCGUUCUCUCACCAUUCUUAAGCGUUCUUACAGCGUUCUCAAGCGUUCUUACACCAUUCUCUCACCAUUCUUAAGCGUUCUUACAGCGUUCUCAAGCGUUCUUACAGCGUUCUUAUAGCGUUCUCACAGCAUUCUCAAGCGUUCUUACAACAUUCUCAAGCGUUCUCACAGCAUUCUCAAGCGUUCUUGCAGCAUUCUCAAGCGUUCUUACAGUGUUCUCAAGCGUUCUUACAGUGUUCUCACAGAGUUUUACAGUGUUCUCACAGCGUUGUUACAGCUUACUGCAGUGUUCUCAAGCAUUCCGUCCCCCAGCAUUCUUAAACCGUUAUUAAGGGCGCCUUCAAACAGAGGUAUGCCCAACAAAAACCUAGGGCCACCAUCUCGCUAGAGCCCGAUUCUCACAGCAGACCGCUUUCC